AGAUCAUGUGAUCUGACCUUGUGGCUAAGGUAGCAUAAUCAUUAGCUUUUUAAUUGGAAGCCAGUAUAAACGAGUUGACGAGGAAAAUCCUGUCUCUUAUUUUUUUUUUAAUUUUAUCUAAAGGUAAAAAAGCCUUUUUACUUUAAAAGGACGACAAGACCCUAAAACCUUCCUUUAAUUUUAUUAUAUUAAAUUAUUUAAAAAUAAAUAUUGGAUUACUGGGGCGGUAAAAAUUGUUACAAAAUAAACAACCAUGACUUGUGCAAAUAUUUAAAAACCCUUACGUAGAUAAACAGGUACUUUAGGGAUAACAGCACAAUUUAUCUUUAGAGACCUUAUCAACAGAUAAUCUGUGACCUCGAUGUUGAAUUGAGUAUCUUGUUUAAGCAGUUUAAAUAUAGA
This 402-nucleotide ribosomal RNA is filed under the name Caucasocyphonethes cavaticus. RNAcentral describes it as "partial large subunit ribosomal RNA". Lineage: Eukaryota; Metazoa; Arthropoda; Malacostraca; Isopoda; Trichoniscidae. The record is from RNAcentral.